AGAGUUUGAUCAUGGCUCAGAUUGAACGCUGGCGGGAAUGCUUAACACAUGCAAGUCGAACGGUGAACCAGGGCUUGCCCUGGGGAUCAGUGGCGAACGGGUGAGUAACACGUGACCAACCUGCCCCUUGCUCUGGGAUAACCCCGGGAAACCGGAGCUAAUACCGGAUACGAGACCGUGCGGCAUCACGCGGUCUGGAAAGUUUUUCGGCAAGGGAUGGGGUCGCGGCCUAUCAGCUUGUUGGUGGGGUAAUGGCCUACCAAGGCGACGACGGGUAGCCGGCCUGAGAGGGCGACCGGCCACACUGGGACUGAGACACGGCCCAGACUCCUACGGGAGGCAGCAGUGGGGAAUAUUGCGCAAUGGGCGAAAGCCUGACGCAGCGACGCCGCGUGAGGGAUGACGGCCUUCGGGUUGUAAACCUCUUUCAGCAGGGAAGAAGCGAAAGUGACGGUACCUGCAGAAGAAGCACCGGCUAACUACGUGCCAGCAGCCGCGGUAAUACGUAGGGUGCAAGCGUUGUCCGGAAUUAUUGGGCGUAAAGAGCUCGUAGGCGGUCUGUCGCGUCGGAUGUGAAAAUCCAGGGCUCAACCCUGGACCUGCAUUCGAUACGGGCAGACUAGAGUUCGGUAGGGGAGACUGGAAUUCCUGGUGUAGCGGUGAAAUGCGCGAUAUCAGGAGGAACACCGGUGGCGAAGGCGGGUCUCUGGGCCGAAACUGACGCUGAGGAGCGAAAGCGUGGGGAGCAAACAGGAUUAGAUACCCUAGUAGUCC
RNAcentral lists this ribosomal RNA (774 nucleotides) under uncultured bacterium. RNAcentral describes it as "bacterial SSU rRNA". It matches the Rfam family "Bacterial small subunit ribosomal RNA", at positions 8 to 796 of the family's 1533-position model. The record is from RNAcentral.